Molecule: long non-coding RNA, 175 nt
Organism: Phyllostomus discolor (pale spear-nosed bat)
Lineage: Eukaryota; Metazoa; Chordata; Mammalia; Chiroptera; Phyllostomidae
Exons: 3
Source: RefSeq, a predicted model, not a curated record
GGCGGGGCUGCGAGCCCUGUACCCCAUUUCCGCCCAGUUCCUACUCCUAUGGGGCAGGGACUCACCCCGUGAGACCCAGCAACCCAGAGAGAGGCAGGGACUUGCCGAGGCCAUCCAGCGUGUCCCUGGUGCAGGUGCCUGUGAGGUGGGGGCUGGGGAGCGCUGUCAGCUGUUA